CGCCACCCGUCUGGGGCCCGAAAGGAGGGAGCUUUCCCUCUGUCCCCCAGCCUUUGGACUGUCACCAAACAAGCCAUUCGUUCACCAAAUACUUUUUAAGCGCCUACCAUGUGCCUGACAAGGGAUAUGUAACGGUGAGAAAAACUAGGUGUGGUCCAGGCCCUUCAGGGACUCAGGGGCUCGUGGAAGAAGUGGAUAUUGAAGUACUUAUCACACAAAGGAGGAUAAAAGUACGAUAGCGAUAUCUACCACGAAGCUGUUGUUCCACACCAGAACCAAAUGAGCGCAAGAUCUGACAAAAAAAAAAGGUUCAUCUUUUAUUCUUCCAAACACUUUCAUUUAAAUCAAGAGGAUGGGAUGUGGUUAUUACUGUGUUUUUAGACAAAAUCAAUGGUUUCUGGCUCUGAGAUGUUGCAUACACCCUCUCAGUCCCUGUAUCCUGAGAUGGAGUCACCUGAGAAUCCACAGCAAGUCCUAACCAGGGAUGGGUCUGGGUGAUUAAGGAAGAUUGGCUUCAGAACUGGGCCAGGGGCACUGCUUUGCUUUUGCUGUUUUGAUCAGCUCUCUGCCUGCAGGAGACGAGGAAAACCAAUGGGAACAGCCCAGUAAAGGCGCCAUUCCCCAUUUUACAGCUGGGGAAACUGAGUUACAGAGCUUUUCUGCACUGAGUCAUCAGGAGCAAAUGCUAGAUCAGAUAGGGUCUCUCUCUCUGCCACUCAGGCCAGAGUGCAGUUGACGCAGAGCAGGGGAGCCCUGAAAUGGAGCAUAGUGUGUCCGGAACUGGUGGGUUCUUGGUCUCACUGACUUCAAGAAUGAAGCUGCGGACCCUCGGGAUGAGUGUCACAGUUCUUAAA
RNAcentral lists this long non-coding RNA (854 nucleotides) under Homo sapiens (human). RNAcentral describes it as "HSALNT0318156". The record is from RNAcentral. Lineage: Eukaryota; Metazoa; Chordata; Mammalia; Primates; Hominidae.